Molecule: long non-coding RNA, 7765 nt
Organism: Myiozetetes cayanensis
Lineage: Eukaryota; Metazoa; Chordata; Aves; Passeriformes; Tyrannidae
Exons: 3
Source: RefSeq, a predicted model, not a curated record
UCCUGAAUCUAAAUAAAGAUGGCUUUUUAGUAUUAAAAGUGGAAGAAAAUUACAGGUAAUUAUCUUUGACGGUAAAAACGCUGUAAUCAGCGGGCUACAUGAAAAAUUACUCUAAUUAUGGCUGCAUUUAAGAGAAUGGAAAAAAACCUUCUUGUGGAUAAAAACCUUAAAUUGUCCCCAAUGUCUGCUUCAAAUUGGAUGGCACUGCAGCUGGAGGCUUUGUUCAGAAUUGAUCCUGGGGAGCUCUGAACCCAAAGUUUCACAGUGGGAAGGGGAAAAAAAGAAAAGAAAACAUUUUUCCUAAUGUAACAAUACGAAUGGUAGAAAAUGACAAGACUGAUCGGUUUUAAACCACUCUGAAGACUGACUGAGCGUGGAAGUUGCUCAAAAAAAAAACAAAAAAACACCCCCCAAAAAACUGGUAUAUUGCGAAUACCUGCUCUCCCUGGAACAUGUUGUCUGGCAGCAACACCUACAUGUAGCACAAGAACUUUUCUGGGAGUUACUCAACAAUAUCUUAUCACUUGUUGCAUAUGGAGAAACAGGAUCUGGCAAAACCAUGGAGUUCUCCUGACGAAGUCUUGCCAACAUGCCUCAGCUGAAACUGGAAGGGCUCACUGGACAGUCCCAGUUCAUUCCCAUGUCCAUUUUCUCCUGGUUACACCCACCAGAAGACAGUGACAAUUGAUUGCAAUUAGAGAGGAAAAGCGCUGUUGUUUUUGACACUAGGCUGGACUCCGGAGAUGUUCUGUCUCUGGGUGUGUCUCAAACUGCUGGGUGACCUCGGACUUCUUUCCUGAGGCCUAAGCUCUUUGUGGAUUACUUCAGUGGUCUUUUUAAUAUCAAAAAGAAAACUAAAGUUUUCAGAGACCGGACAUCGCAGUGAUCCUACAUCUAAACAAUGGUGUGUCUGAAGUUAAACCAACAUUGUAAUCCAACUUCCCCAAAAAUUUCAGAGCUCAUUGUAAAAUGCUAUUUAGCUGUAAAAGCAGCAAUAGAGCUUUUUGUCCUAACCAUGCAAAAGCAAACAGACAGAUUCUGCUUUUGGUCAAAAACUAAACAUUGUUUCGAAUGGAUUUACUCUCUGUUUUUGCUAAUGUAACUGGCCUAGCAAGUUUCUGGAAGAUAAAGUAUGCUACAAAAUGGAAGAGGGGAGGAUGCUAACAGUUAUUAGUUGUUAUAUGAUAGAACCAGAAAAUAUCUGAAGAUAUAUUGUGGUCCUAAUUAUUUUAAAAAUAACACUGAGGCACAUAUGGAGUUCAAAGCAUAUAUAGUGGCAGUAUUUUCAUGAUUAUUCUAUUGAUAUUUACUAAACUGAGAUGAAUUCAAUUUCUUCACUCUAUUUUACCUCAGAUUUGUAUCUAACAACUAAGGGCUUCUUUCUGUUCAGCAACUUGCAGUUUUGCAAGACAAAUUGUAUUUUAGACAUUACUGCACUUUCUAAAUGUUUGAUAAAACUUUUGUUUCAUAAUAUCCCUUAAGGUAAAAUUAAACAAUGACAAUCCACCUCCUUAGAAGACAGUUCUUAACAAGCAAUUUUCUUAAUGAGACAUACCACAGGCAGACAAGGAAAUGUUGCCUCUGGUAAAUUUGCAUACAUUCAUACUCAUAGAAUAUGAUCAAUUUGUCUGCUUAUGCAGCUUUACACUAUCUGCAGUUAUAAUAUAUAAAAAAAAUCAUUUUGGCUAAAGCAUUUCUUCCUCUUGGAUUUAAGAGAUCAUAAAAUAUAUCCGGUAUAUCCCUGGAAAGUUUGUUUCAACUCAUAAAUAUCUUUAUUGUUAGAAAGACACUUUACUUUCAGUCUGUCUGGUCUAGGUUUCCAGGCCAUGGUUUUCCUGCUAGAUGGAAGGAUCCUUUCUUACUUGGUAUUUCCCUGCUGUGAAUGUGCUAUGUGUACAGCUCAUCUCUUCCCAUCUUCCUCCUGAUAAAAUCAACAUGGAACUCUGCAUUUUAGUUGGAUUUUCAUUCACUGCAAGGAAUUCUUCUUUGAAUAACUUUAUGGUUCUUGCCUGUACCGUUCCUGGUUUCUGUUUGACUGUCCAGUUCUCAUCAUUGUAUGCCAUCCUGCCAAACUCAUGUCAUUCAAAGAUUGUGUUUAGGACACGUUUACAAGACCAUUGGUGCAGGUGCUAAGGAGUAUGAAGCCUCAUACAGAAGUCAAGGAAACAUUGAGAACAUUCAUUCAAUUACAAAUCCCAGCUGAUGCCUACUUUUUUUAGAUCUGUCAGACAAUCUUUAUUGAAUUUGAUAUGUGGUUUAUUGCUAUUACAAAAUGCUAAAAUCAUAACAGUAUGUCAGUUCACGUGAAUAUUAAUUUAACCCUUCCAGGGAAUCCUUGUUCCUUCUGUACUGCUGUAGUAGCAGAGUGCCUUCCACUUAGAUAGCAUUAAAAGAGUCCCACUGAAGACACUUGAUAGUAUACCUGGCAUUUUCUCUCUGUCAGGAUUUAACAUCAAAUAGUUUAUUUGACUACUGUGCACAUUUUGUUACUGGUUGAAUAACUACUUGAUUAAGCUGAUAUCAAUAAAGAAUCUGCUGGUGUAAACGCUUAACUUCAUAUAUCCACUGUGAGUUACCUUCCAGUCUUCACUUUGAUUUGUACUAAAUAUUAUAGUAUACAUCCAGAAAGCAUAACAAGAAAAGCCAUUAAUGACACACACACUAAGACAGUUUUACAUUUGAAACUGGGACUCCGAAAUUCAAAGCAGUUCAGUGUCUCAUGCUAAAAGCUGAUCCAUUGUAAGUGCUAAAACCAGAAUAUGUACUAUUGAAAUCAGGAACCUAUGUUGUUGGUAUUCUUCAAGUUGCAUAAUUGAAUGAGACGUGCGUAACCAAUUUAACUAUAAUGCAGUGACAGGGAAAUUAGCUUCUAGAGGCUUUCACUAUUCAGUAUGUUUAAUGUACCUAGAGCCCUGAAAUACAUGUAUUUAUUACCAAAUCCUGUGGAUAAACAGAAGUAAAUAGGCCCUGAAUAAACCUGGUGCUAACAAUAUUCUGUGGUUGGCAUUCAAGUUAAGUUGUUUUCAGUGCAACUACUGUGGAUUAUUUAUACCUAAAGUCUGAAAGACAUUAAAUAUAAGGCUAAGCAAUGUCCUAUAGCUUAUAUAUAUGAAUACUAGCAGCAUUUAAAGCAUAAAUAUGCCUAAGCAAUUAGUAUAACAGUGUUAGGUAAGUGCAAAAGGAACUGAGAGGAGUUAGAUGUUCACAAGGUAAGGGUCUGUGUGUGUCUGUGGGCUUGCCAGGACUAUUGUAGGUUUUCUGUACUUCAGAUUCAGUAGAGGGGGUGAGGAAUCAUUAUGGUAUCUCUGAGUGCAAGACUUCUUCAUUUGUGUCAGAUUUGAUUGUUUUGGUUUGAGUUUUUUUCCACGGCUCUGGCAGCUCCUCUGUAGCUACUCACCUGAAGAAGACGUGAUUUCAUCAAAAACAACAGGGUAAAUUAGGACAAAGUCUAUGAAAAAUGGUGUUUUAGUGUAAAAGGAAUUUUGGUUGUGGACAAAAUUCUUCAUUCUGUUAAGAAAGAAAUUAUUUUUUGACUGCAGCAACCUUAAAACUGAACAUCAGGCAGAUCAAAUGACUCCUGAAUUCUGGAGAGAAUGAAUACUCUUCAACUAUAAAAAUAUGUAGAGAUAUUAUUGCAAUAACUUGGGAUAUUGACUACACAUCAGAGAAUGGCUCUUUAUAGUUCUCUUCCAGAUCACUAGUAUGAAAGGGGAUUCUAAAACAGAAAUGUCUCCACCUCCCACAAGCAGUAAUUAAAAAUCCCAAAUAAGCAGUUGACUGAAUUUAGUGUUCACAUACAUGUGCCAUUUCCCAUUUAUAAUCAACGACAAACUUCUGUAUACACCCCAGGGCAAUGUUUGGCUCAUCAUAUGUAACACUUUAACGUUAAUUUAGGAUGACUAAUAUUCAGGUCAGCAGCCAUGUAAUAUUUGUUAAUUCUUUUUUUCCACUGCUUAACUUUAUAUUAUUUUUAAAUUUACAGCUGCCAUGGAAAAUGACCAGAAAUCUACUAUCUGAGAAAACCCAUCCAUCAUCUUGAGGCAAUCUUCCAAUCUGUUAACUUUAGCUGCUACUAAUAAGUGUCUCAGUCCAGGAAAAGCAAUUAUUACGAUGUUUCACAGAAUAACUUCCAGACAGCACAUGAUGUAAACUGUUCUUGGGCAGCAUUUCUUCUAAGGAAACAGGCUUUUUAUUUUUUUCCUCAGUAAGCAACUUUACCAAUGCAAUUGUGACAAAAACAGAGGUAAAGAGGAAGAGCUGUUGGAAAUGGGGGUUGACCAUGGCUACUGUGCCUAUUUACACCAUCCAAAGACUUGGAUCAUGAUGCUUUGCAAAGCCUUUGUUAUGGGUUUGAUCAGUGUGCAGACUCAGUAAGGAGUGAUUGAGAUACAGUCACUAAUGUGUUACAUCACAUAGAGCCAAAUCAGGCAACCUGGUUUGACUGCAGGUUCACACCCAGAGAGUGAUGUCUCGCCUACUACGUAACCUGGAAUGAAAAACAAGCCAAGCUCAGUGUGUUAGCAUCUCUAUUUUGAUUAUUGCUAUUUUGAGGCCCUUAAUGAAAAUGCAACAUCAUUGCAGACUGCUGCUUGCAGUCAGUAGCCUGAUCAGUAUGCUUGCACGUGGCAGUCAUUUGCAUUUUUCAGUGCUGUCUCCAGAGCACAAGGACAAGCUGCUGUGGAAGGGGAAGGUACCACUGGUAAGCAUCACUGUGAAGGUGUUCACUGGCCUGGAGAAACGAGACCUCUCCAAGGUAAUCAUGGAACAUUAUUAGGUGGCUUAGGUGGAUAUCUUGUCACAGGAUGAACUCAGAUGAGCCCCCAGUGCAGAAAGCUUCCUGUUAGAAAAGGGGAAACCAAAGCAGGAGAGGGUCAAAGGAGCACUGCAUGGUUUAUCUAUGACUACCUUCACUGUAGCCUGAUUUCUGUAACAAGGGACCUCUGUUAAGGGGCUGGGGAAGGAAAUUUGACAACUCCUCUAUGACAAUAAACAUACACUGGCAAAGCUAUACUUUAUGAUCUUAGAGUCAAUACAUUUAGGAUCAGUCAGAUAAUCAUAUGGUGGCAUCUCACUAAGCCUCUCUGAUUAUUUGAGGGACUGGUUCAAAAGUUUCUCAUGGCUCGUUCCUGGCUGUUCUUCACAUGUCCUUGUAAGAAGAUGUCAGCUUGUGACUAAUUUUCAGUCUACCUCUGCUAGACUCCGUGAUCUUGAAGGCUGUUGAUAGCAGACAGCAUUCAGUAUUUUUCCAGACACCCACCUACCUCAUCAGACUAAAUGACUCGUCUUUUCAAUUCUACUUCUGUAGUGUGUUAUAGAUUGUUUUGGUGUGUUUGGAUUUCUGGUUGAGGACUUGCUUUCUAAUCCUUGAAGAAUUGGAUACUAAGAGGAAAGCAUGGUCUGGAUUCCUUGUGAAAAUUUCAUAUUAUUGUGCUAGACCAUUUUGCACAAUAGCUAAUCCAAACCUAGAUACCCAUUUACUUUGUAAGCAAAAAUUUGGUCUUAAGUACCAUUAUUAAGCUGUUUUCUAGGAGAAAUGAGUCCAUGGGACUAUGGUACAUGUAGAAUCUUUGUUUUGCAAUUGGUUCCUUUCAUGACUAAAUUAAUCAGACACAUAUACAAUAAGGUUAGAAAGCAUAAUUUGCCUGGCUUAAAAGGAGCUGUUCAGUACAUCAAGGUGCUUACUUUAAUUCAUCAAAGCUGUUUUGGCCUGCAGAAAUGCAUACAUGCAAACAUAUAUAUAUAUUCUUAAAAUAUAUUUAGGCAUUCAGUCGUGUCCAUAUAUACAUCUCUUCUGUAUAUUUUUGGAUACAAUUUGGAAAUUAUUUUUUCCCUAGAAAUACAUAAAAUUCCUUCUUAUAUAUGCAGCCACAUACAUGAACACAUGAUCAUCAUCAAUACGUUGUCUUGCCUUUAAUUAUUGGAGACUGAGACAUGUCAGCAAACAAUCUGGGUUUGACAUCUAAGAAAAGGCAAGAAUACAAUGCUGAAAGAUCAGCAGUUGGUUGGCCCCUUGGACAUUCUUGGCCCCUUUCACACCCUGCAAAUAAAUGCCUGAAAAGCUGAUUUUGCCAUAAGCUGUGGGAGCUGAUCAGAGUUCUGUUAUAGGAAAGUCUAUAUUCUUUGUACAAUUCAUAGGUGGUUUAAAAUAUUCACCAACUUAGUUAAGUGUUUGUUCUCCUGGGUAGUAGUUCUACUGUAGUGAGACGGAAAGUGUUAAAAUUACUUUCCUUGGGAUAGGGCAUAAUGAGAACUUCUGCCCUCUUUUUUUUUAAUUUAAUUUUUUUUUCUUCAUGGGAAAUGUUUUUGGGCAUUACUGAUGUAACAGGAAAUGGUACCUUCUUGAUCCCUGACAGCAUUAUGCUAUCUGUAAUGAUGAGAAAGGUGAAAAUAAAAAUGACAUUUCCUAUUUGGCAGACGUUCUGUAGCACUAACAGGAAGUCCAAGAGUCAGACAGUUUCAAGAAUAAAAAUUAUUAUAGUCCUAGUGAACUGAAAAAGUGCUACUUCUCUCUGUGCAUUUUAGCAGAAGAUUCUUUUUAAUUAAAGAGGUAAAUUAAGAUAUCAAAUUUGAAGUCAUCCUUUGCCAUCAGUUCAAAAACAGAAAUCAUCAUUUCUUUCCUAGAAACAUCCAUUUUCACUGACAGUGACUCUGGCCUUUCUGGUGUCACUCUGUUAUGUUAUUUCACAGCAAUGUGCUCAGCCUCUAAAGUACAAACCAUUAAUGCAUAUAUUUCCUUUUCAUCCAGAUAUUCAUUUUCUUGUAUAAGACAGCCUUGUUCCCUAAAUCUUUCCAGACCUAUCACUCAGUUUAUGUGCACAUAAACUUUGACGGUUCUGUGUUUCUUCCUUAAGCAAAAAGUCAGAGGAAAUAAAAAGGAAUUCUUAUGUCUAAGUAUUUGAAAAUUACUCUGGUCUAGAUGCCACUAAAGCACAAAUGUAAGAGUACAUACUAAAAAAAAAAAUUCCUUGAUGCAGAAUGCAACAUUCCAGACACACCAGAUUGUAUUCAAAUUCAUACAACCCUUUUGUCUGAGUAAUGUACUCUCCUGAGAGGUAAGGGAAAAUGGGUGACAUUUUUUCAGUUCUGUAUUUUGCAACUUAUUGAGGUCCUCAAAUUCAUAUUUCCUUACGUUCUUUCUUUGUACUCACUGUGUUUAUCAGAAGACAUGCAUGAAUGAGAAUAUAUCUGAAAUCUGCAUUGCUUUUGGGGCCUGGUUCAAACAGGAUUAGGAGCCACAGAAGGAUCUCACCAAAGGUUUUCAUGACUUCUAGUCACAUCAUUAAUGCAGAAUACUUUUUGAAUAUUUUGGUCUUCUUCCUUCCAUAUGAAGAGAAAUAGUGAUCCUGCCUUUGAAAAAUAUUUUGAAAUUGCCAGGGAUGCAGAUAGUAAUCACUGUUAUACCACUUUAUAAACAGUGAGAAAUGAAAUACCGUUUAACAGAAAGACCAUGUUUUAUUAUAUUUACAACAAUAGAACUGGAAUAUAACCUUUUUAUUUAAAAAUCAAGCCACAGAUUAAGUUUUGAUUGAAGUAUUUUGUACUGAAAAUAAGAAUAAUGAAAGCAAUUAAGUAUUCGUAGUCCUGCUCUCACACAAACACCUUCCAUGGUGAGCCUGUUUAUGCAACCAAGUGUGCCAUACAAUUGCUUUUAUUACCUUCUUAUAAAACAGCCUGUAUAAAACACUUUUUUUGAUUGUUUCUUUGUGUAUUGUUGAGUAUGUUUGCAUUCUAAAGGGCUUUGCCUCAUUAAAGUAAUUACCAUAAA